GCAAAUAUAGUUUAAUCAAGACGUUAGAUUGUGAUUCUAAAAAUAGAGGCUAAAAUCCUCUUAUCUGCC
This 69-nucleotide transfer RNA is filed under the name Badis badis. RNAcentral's name for it is "tRNA-His". It matches the Rfam family "tRNA". Rfam says of the family: Transfer RNA (tRNA) molecules are approximately 80 nucleotides in length. Their secondary structure includes four short double-helical elements and three loops (D, anti-codon, and T loops). Lineage: Eukaryota; Metazoa; Chordata; Actinopteri; Anabantiformes; Badidae. The record is from RNAcentral.